UACGUAGGGUGCAAGCGUUGUCCGGAAUUAUUGGGCGUAAAGAGCUCGUAGGUGGUUUGUCGCGUUGUUCGUGAAAACUCACAGCUCAACUGUGGGCGUGCGGGCGAUACGGGCAGACUAGAGUACUGCAGGGGAGACUGGAAUUCCUGGUGUAGCGGUGGAAUGCGCAGAUAUCGGGAGGAACACCGGUGGCGAAGGCGGCGACCUGGGUCGAUACUGACGCUGAGGUGCGAAAGCGUGGGGAGCAAACAGG
This 253-nucleotide ribosomal RNA is filed under the name uncultured bacterium. Its description in RNAcentral is "partial 16S ribosomal RNA". It matches the Rfam family "Bacterial small subunit ribosomal RNA", at positions 524 to 776 of the family's 1533-position model. The record is from RNAcentral.